Molecule: long non-coding RNA, 1246 nt
Organism: Eupeodes corollae
Lineage: Eukaryota; Metazoa; Arthropoda; Insecta; Diptera; Syrphidae
Exons: 4
Source: RefSeq, a predicted model, not a curated record
UUGUCAGUAAACAUUUUUAUAGAUAGUCUGUCAUCAAUGAUUUGAUAAACAAUUAACGACAUAAAACAACAAAAUCUAUCAGCAAAUAACAUCGUUUUUCAUUUAAGAAAAAAAAAGUAUUUCUAUUGUAAAAAUCUUUUGUUCUCAUAAAAAUGUUCCAUCAAUCAGUCACGAAACUAAAAACAACAAUUCUCUUAUCAGAAAUCUUAAAUUUAUGCGUCAUUAUUUUCAUAUUUCUUGUUUCGUCUUCCCAAAAUCAAGUUCAAGAACGUCAGCAGAGAAAUAUUAUAGAAAAGGGGCAUCUUGAAAGAUCUUCAACAAUUCUUUAAUGACAGACAAACAGGCAGGUUCAGGUAUAUUAUUGAUACCUUCCUCUCCUCUACAAUGGUCUGUGGCUUUGCGUGAGUUUCCUUCAUCAACAGAAGGUAGUUGUUGCUCUUUCUACCAAUGACACAAUAAUUGCCCUUCCCGUCAAUGGAAUUCCUUUCAAAGUGGCCGGCAUUAGUGGUCAUUUGCAGGUACCUACUUUAUGCUAACAACUAAGCUAUAAGUGUCUUGGGAGAUGAGAUUCAUGUAAAAACAAAUUGACUGAACUUACCUGUGUAUCAUUUAGAAUCUCCAAAUGUUCACCUUUCCUGAAGCUCAAAUCCUCAUCGGUGCGUGCAUCAUAAUCAUACAGUGCGACAAAUAUUUUAGCAUUCGAACUGGAAGUCUCGUUUUCCGGAAUUUGUGGCACUGGACGGAUUUGCUCUUGCGGUGGUGUCUGCUGCAUUGGAUUCUGCAGCACAGGAAGCUCCUCGAGUGCAUUUGUUCGAUCGAUGUUUAACUUAUCGGUGUCGGGUUUUUCACUACGCAGACAAUUACCCAUUUUGUGAUGAUUUUUGUUGUUACUAUGUUCCUAUCCACGAAGAUAUGAUGGGAUUCUUUUAUCACCACAAUUCUCUCCCCAAAGACUCGUAAGACGAAGGAGGCUUUGGAGAUUUAUUUAUAAGUAAUCAAAACAAUAAUAUACAACAAACAAAAACUAACCGAAAUAAGAAUCUUUAUGGGAGAUAAACAAAUCGGAAGAAGCAGUUUGGCCUGGAAUUCGGAUUAAAAAAAAACACAGAAAACACGAUAAAACACGAUAAAACAAAAGGAAAAAGAAAAGGGAAUAGACACUUUAGGGAAUCUUCUCGGAAUCGAAAUCAAUUUGGAAACUCAACGACACAAUCCACACGGAGGACAGAAAAUGAAAGAAACAAAA